Molecule: ribosomal RNA, 459 nt
Filed under: uncultured bacterium
Lineage: Bacteria
Description: partial 16S ribosomal RNA
Rfam family: Bacterial small subunit ribosomal RNA
Source: RNAcentral
CUACGGGCGGCUCCAGUAAGGAAUAUUGCGCAAUGGAGGCAACUCUGACGCAGCCAUGCCGCGUGCAGGAAGAAGGCCUUAUGGGUCGUAAACUGCUUUUAUUUAGGAAUAAACCCCCGAACGUGUUCGGGGCUGAAGGUACUAAACGAAUAAGCACCGGCUAACUCCGUGCCAGCAGCCGCGGUAAUACGGAGGGUGCAAGCGUUAUCCGGAUUUAUUGGGUUUCAAGGGUGCGCAGGCGGGCUAUUAAGUCAGUGGUGAAAUCCCGGGGCUCAACUCCGGAACUGCCAUUGAUACUGAUAGUCUUGAGUUUGGUUGAAGUGGGCGGAAUGUAGCAUGUAGCGGUGAAAUGCAUAGAUAUGCUACAGAACACCAAUCGCGAAGGCAGCUCACUAAGCCAAAACUGACGCUCAUGCACGAAAGCGUGGGGAUCAAACAGGAUUAGAUACCCCGGUAGUC